GCCCCCGUAGCUCAGCUGGUCAGAGCAAGCGGCUUUUAACCGCAAGGUCGUCGGUUCGAAUCCGACCGGGGGCA
This 74-nucleotide transfer RNA is filed under the name Solirubrobacterales bacterium. RNAcentral's name for it is "tRNA-Lys". It matches the Rfam family "tRNA". Rfam says of the family: Transfer RNA (tRNA) molecules are approximately 80 nucleotides in length. Their secondary structure includes four short double-helical elements and three loops (D, anti-codon, and T loops). Further hydrogen bonds mediate the characteristic L-shaped molecular structure. tRNAs have two regions of fundamental functional importance: the anti-codon, which is responsible for specific mRNA codon recognition, and the 3' end, to which the tRNAs corresponding amino acid is attached (by aminoacyl-tRNA synthetases). tRNAs cope with the degeneracy of the genetic code in two manners: having more than one tRNA (with a specific anti-codon) for a particular amino acid; and 'wobble' base-pairing, i.e. permitting non-standard base-pairing at the 3rd anti-codon position. Lineage: Bacteria; Bacillati; Actinomycetota; Thermoleophilia; Solirubrobacterales. The record is from RNAcentral.